This 433-nucleotide ribosomal RNA is filed under the name uncultured bacterium. Its description in RNAcentral is "partial 16S ribosomal RNA". It matches the Rfam family "Bacterial small subunit ribosomal RNA", at positions 29 to 507 of the family's 1533-position model. The record is from RNAcentral.
AACGAACGCUGGCGGCAUGCCUAACACAUGCAAGUCGAACGAGACCUUCGGGUCUAGUGGCGCACGGGUGCGUAACGCGUGGGAACCUGCCCUUAGGUUCGGAAUAACUCCCCGAAAGGGGUGCUAAUACCGGAUAAUGUCUUCGGACCAAAGAUUUAUCGCCUUUGGAUGGGCCCGCGUUGGAUUAGCUAGUUGGUAGGGUAAAAGCCUACCAAGGCGACGAUCCAUAGCUGGUCUGAGAGGAUGAUCAGCCACACUGGGACUGAGACACGGCCCAGACUCCUACGGGAGGCAGCAGUGGGGAAUAUUGGACAAUGGGCGAAAGCCUGAUCCAGCAAUGCCGCGUGAGUGAUGAAGGCCUUAGAGUUGUAAAGCUCUUUUACCCGGGAUGAUAAUGACAGUACCGAGAGAAUAAGCUCCGGCUAACUCCGUG